AAAACAAACCUACGGGAGGCAGCAGUGGGGAAUAUUGGACAAUGGGCGCAAGCCUGAUCCAGCCAUGCCGCGUGAGUGAUGAAGGCCUUAGGGUUGUAAAGCUCUUUCACCGAUGAAGAUAAUGACGGUAGUCGGAGAAGAAGCCCCGGCUAACUUCGUGCCAGCAGCCGCGGUAAUACGAAGGGGGCUAGCGUUGUUCGGAUUUACUGGGCGUAAAGCGCACGUAGGCGGUUUGUUAAGUCAGGGGUGAAAUCCCGGAGCUCAACUCCGGAACUGCCUUUGAUACUGGCAAGCUAGAGUCCGGAAGAGGUAAGUGGAACUCCUAGUGUAGAGGUGGAAU
RNAcentral lists this ribosomal RNA (340 nucleotides) under uncultured bacterium. RNAcentral describes it as "bacterial SSU rRNA". It matches the Rfam family "Bacterial small subunit ribosomal RNA", at positions 328 to 687 of the family's 1533-position model. The record is from RNAcentral.